AAAUUGAAGAGUUUGAUCAUGGCUCAGAUUGAACGCUGGCGGCAGGCCUAACACAUGCAAGUCGAACGGUAACAGGAAGCAGCUUGCUGCUUCGCUGACGAGUGGCGGACGGGUGAGUAAUGUCUGGGAAACUGCCUGAUGGAGGGGGAUAACUACUGGAAACGGUGGCUAAUACCGCAUAACGUCGCAAGACCAAAGAGGGGGACCUUCGGGCCUCUUGCCAUCAGAUGUGCCCAGAUGGGAUUAGCUAGUUGGUGAGGUAAUGGCUCACCAAGGCGACGAUCCCUAGCUGGUCUGAGAGGAUGACCAGCCACACUGGAACUGAGACACGGUCCAGACUCCUACGGGAGGCAGCAGUGGGGAAUAUUGCACAAUGGGCGCAAGCCUGAUGCAGCCAUGCCGCGUGUAUGAAGAAGGCCUUCGGGUUGUAAAGUACUUUCAGCGGGGAGGAAGGUGUUGCGGUUAAUAACCGCAGCAAUUGACGUUACCCGCAGAAGAAGCACCGGCUAACUCCGUGCCAGCAGCCGCGGUAAUACGGAGGGUGCAAGCGUUAAUCGGAAUUACUGGGCGUAAAGCGCACGCAGGCGGUCUGUCAAGUCGGAUGUGAAAUCCCCGGGCUCAACCUGGGAACUGCAUUCGAAACUGGCAGGCUUGAGUCUUGUAGAGGGGGGUAGAAUUCCAGGUGUAGCGGUGAAAUGCGUAGAGAUCUGGAGGAAUACCGGUGGCGAAGGCGGCCCCCUGGACAAAGACUGACGCUCAGGUGCGAAAGCGUGGGGAGCAAACAGGAUUAGAUACCCUGGUAGUCCACGCCGUAAACGAUGUCUACUUGGAGGUUGUGCCCUUGAGGCGUGGCUUCCGGAGCUAACGCGUUAAGUAGACCGCCUGGGGAGUACGGCCGCAAGGUUAAAACUCAAAUGAAUUGACGGGGGCCCGCACAAGCGGUGGAGCAUGUGGUUUAAUUCGAUGCAACGCGAAGAACCUUACCUGGUCUUGACAUCCACGGAAGUUUUCAGAGAUGAGAAUGUGCCUUCGGGAACCGUGAGACAGGUGCUGCAUGGCUGUCGUCAGCUCGUGUUGUGAAAUGUUGGGUUAAGUCCCGCAACGAGCGCAACCCUUAUCCUUUGUUGCCAGCGGUUAGGCCGGGAACUCAAAGGAGACUGCCAGUGAUAAACUGGAGGAAGGUGGGGAUGACGUCAAGUCAUCAUGGCCCUUACGACCAGGGCUACACACGUGCUACAAUGGCGCAUACAAAGAGAAGCGACCUCGCGAGAGCAAGCGGACCUCAUAAAGUGCGUCGUAGUCCGGAUUGGAGUCUGCAACUCGACUCCAUGAAGUCGGAAUCGCUAGUAAUCGUGGAUCAGAAUGCCACGGUGAAUACGUUCCCGGGCCUUGUACACACCGCCCGUCACACCAUGGGAGUGGGUUGCAAAAGAAGUAGGUAGCUUAACCUCCGGGAGGGCGCUUACCACUUUGUGAUUCAUGACUGGGGUGAAGUCGUAACAAGGUAACCGUAGGGGAACCUGCGGUUGGAUCACCUCCUUACCUGAAAGAAGC
Molecule: ribosomal RNA, 1554 nt
Filed under: Salmonella enterica subsp. enterica serovar Fresno
Lineage: Bacteria; Pseudomonadati; Pseudomonadota; Gammaproteobacteria; Enterobacterales; Enterobacteriaceae
Description: bacterial SSU rRNA
Rfam family: Bacterial small subunit ribosomal RNA
Source: RNAcentral